UGCUUCGUACAGGGCCAGAGGAGAUCCGUGGUACGGCAGAUACGACGGUCAGAAUCAAGCUUACCGAGAUCCAAACUACCCGUACAGAGAACCGCAGCCAGAACGGCCCAGCUCCCGAACCAGUCAGUACUCUGACAGACCUUCGUCCAGACAAGGCUAUUCUGACGAAUACCACAGAGCAAACCGAAGUGCCUACAGUGAUUAUUAUGCAGAUUAUCCCAAGCACUAUGAUUACAGCGCAUACAACUAUGGACAGUAUGACCCCCGAUACAGAGGAUACUACGAUCAGUCCUACUGGUCCAGUUAUGAUGAAGCCUACAGAGCAAGAGACCCCUACUAUAAUCAGCACAUGUAUCCUCCCAGG
Molecule: long non-coding RNA, 364 nt
Organism: Salarias fasciatus (jewelled blenny)
Lineage: Eukaryota; Metazoa; Chordata; Actinopteri; Blenniiformes; Blenniidae
Exons: 3
Source: RefSeq, a predicted model, not a curated record